GGACCUAUGAUGUAAUGGUUAGCAUCUAUGACUUUUAAUCAUAUCGUCAGAGUUCAAAUCUCUGUGGGUCCACCA
Molecule: transfer RNA, 75 nt
Filed under: bacterium
Lineage: Bacteria
Description: tRNA-Lys
Rfam family: tRNA
About the family: Transfer RNA (tRNA) molecules are approximately 80 nucleotides in length. Their secondary structure includes four short double-helical elements and three loops (D, anti-codon, and T loops).
Source: RNAcentral